GUGCUCGUAGCUCAGCUGGAUAGAGCAACGCCCUUCUAAGGCGUAGGUCAGGGGUUCGAAUCCCUUCGGGCACACCA
RNAcentral lists this transfer RNA (77 nucleotides) under Flavobacterium sp. RNAcentral describes it as "tRNA-Arg". It matches the Rfam family "tRNA". Rfam says of the family: Transfer RNA (tRNA) molecules are approximately 80 nucleotides in length. RNAcentral also lists the same sequence under 2 other names. Lineage: Bacteria; Pseudomonadati; Bacteroidota; Flavobacteriia; Flavobacteriales; Flavobacteriaceae. The record is from RNAcentral.